Molecule: long non-coding RNA, 1842 nt
Filed under: Homo sapiens (human)
Lineage: Eukaryota; Metazoa; Chordata; Mammalia; Primates; Hominidae
Description: HSALNT0306928
Source: RNAcentral
ACAGUCACCUUGACAUUGCUCACCUGCCUGGGCCUCAGCCCAUGACCAAGGAAACUUUUGCCCUCCCUCCCCAGGAGCUCACUUACAGGCCAUCUUCAAAGGUACUGCCUACCUGAACCUGCCUUGUCCCAAAGGACACACUUCAAUCUGGGGAGAGUUUAAAGUUGUAGACAUAUCCAUUUUCAUUUAAGGAAUAUGAAGAUCAGGGAGGCAAAAUAUAGAGAUAUAGAGAGGAAAAACUGAGAGAUGAUCAGAAAUUCAGACGCAUUCGGAAUGAGCACCCUUGACCAUACCAAGAACAAAGACUCUAUAAAAAUGUGAAGUCUUAUUAUUGUUCAUCCAUGUUCUACGUGGGAUCCACCCAAGACAUUGAAAACUGUACAGAACAGGGUGAAAUUGAAUCAGAUCAUUCUGUACUCCUAACAAGGUCCACCCCAUGAGAGACUUGCAGCAGAAUUAAUGACACUGUAUAUUUUCCUCUACUAACAACAACAAGAACAACAACAACAACAAUCUAGGAAAAUCAAAGGCAGCCCGACAUGGAAAAAAACACAAAAUGAAUAUUUGGAUUACAAAUAGUGUGAUGGGAAGAACACACUGCCAAAAGUCCACCUAGUAUGUUGAAAUUACUGUUUCUAGCACAUAUAAGAUGAGGAAAAGGAAGAUCAAAAAGGUCAUAUCAUUUGCUUACAUAAACAGUGAUGAAAUUCAGAUUCAACCUUGGAACUUUGGAUCUCAUGCCCUGUCACAAACGGGACUUAGGAAACCAACUGGCUUUCAUCUAGAUUUGCUGCCAAUUUGUACUGACUUCUGAAAAAUACUUUAUCCAUUGUCUUCUUACAUCAGAAUCAACUCCCUAAAUUCUUCAGCACUGGCUUUGUAAACUGGUUUCUGGUCUUUGUUUCUGUCAACUUACCUAUAAAAGGAUACAAAAACUGAAGAACAGAGAGGAGCAGAUACCCUGGAAAGCCGAAAGUUUUAUUGACCAAAGACUGAGUCUCGGAAUGUUUUGAUUGUGGAGUUUAUAGAGUUCAGGCUGAAGUUUUAUAAAAAUAACUUGCAGCAGCAUGGAGGACUGAUGAGAAAGUAGACAGAUGCUGGAAGCAGGAAAACUGAACAGCAGGUCACUGGCCAAGGAGAAUCAAAGAGCUAGAUGCUGAGAAUAAUGCAGCCAUAACGUGAAAUCUUUUUGAGGCUCCGUGGUGGUCUUAAAAUAUAUCCACAAAUUUUCUGACAUCCUCUCUUCAAGAAGUGGAGCUUAAUUCCCUUUCCUUUGAGUGCAGACCACUCACUCUGGGAGAAAGCAACUGGCUAUGUCAUGAGGAAAUUGAAACCACCUAUGGAGAAAGGCCCACAUGGUGAGAAAGUAAAGCCUCUUCCCAAUACCAAAAUUCUGUAAGUCUGCUACGGUGACAUUUCUGGUUAGGAGUCAGAGUGGAUGGGACACUGAGCAAUAAGGCAAAGUUGGACAUCCCAAAGAUGGCAUAGAUAAACAUGACCAGGAAGAGCAGGAGGCCGAUGUUAAACAACGCAGGAAGGGACAUCAUCAAAGCAAAGAGCAGCGUGCGGAUCCCCUUUGCUCCUUUGAUCAGACGUAGGAUUCGGCCAAUCCUGGCAAGACGGAUCACUCGGAACAAGCACGCGGAACACAAUCAGGAAGGAGUGGAAGAAGUCGUUCAUGUGCCACCGUGGGAGCGUACAGUCAUCAUUGAUCUUGCAGACACAUUCUUUGUAGCUCUUACCAAAGAGCUGCAUGCCGACCACAGCAAAAAUGAAGACGAUGAUGGCCAACACCAAGGCUCCGAGCACAUCAUUGGCACCAAAAUAGAGCAAAGGACUGUG